RNAcentral lists this ribosomal RNA (253 nucleotides) under uncultured bacterium. Its description in RNAcentral is "partial 16S ribosomal RNA". It matches the Rfam family "Bacterial small subunit ribosomal RNA", at positions 524 to 776 of the family's 1533-position model. The record is from RNAcentral.
UACGAAGGGGGCUAGCGUUGCUCGGAAUGACUGGGCGUAAAGGGCGCGUAGGCGGAUGGUACAGUUAGAUGUGAAAUUCCCGGGCUCAACCUGGGGGCUGCAUUUGAUACGUGCUGUCUUGAGUUCGGAAGAGGGUCGUGGAAUUCCCAGUGUAGAGGUGAAAUUCGUAGAUAUUGGGAAGAACACCGGUGGCGAAGGCGGCGACCUGGUCCGAGACUGACGCUGAGGCGCGAAAGCGUGGGGAGCAAACAGG